This 530-nucleotide ribosomal RNA is filed under the name uncultured bacterium. RNAcentral describes it as "partial 16S ribosomal RNA". It matches the Rfam family "Bacterial small subunit ribosomal RNA", at positions 355 to 874 of the family's 1533-position model. The record is from RNAcentral.
UGGGGAAUUUUGGACAAUGGGCGAAAGCCUGAUCCAGCAAUGCCGCGUGUGUGAAGAAGGCCUUCGGGUUGUAAAGCACUUUUGUCCGGAAAGAAAUCCUUGGCUCUAAUACAGUCGGGGGAUGACGGUACCGGAAGAAUAAGCACCGGCUAACUACGUGCCAGCAGCCGCGGUAAUACGUAGGGUGCAAGCGUUAAUCGGAAUUACUGGGCGUAAAGCGUGCGCAGGCGGUUUGCUAAAGACCGAUGUGAAAUCCCCGGGCUCAACCUGGGAACUGCAUUGGUGACUGGCAGGCUAGAGUAUGGCAGAGGGGGGUAGAAUUCCACGUGUAGCAGUGAAAUGCGUAGAGAUGUGGAGGAAUACCGAUGGCGAAGGCAGCCCCCUGGGCCAAUACUGACGCUCAUGCACGAAAAGCGUGGGGGAGCAAAACAGGAUUAGAUACCCUGGUAGUCCACGCCCUAAACGAUGUCAACUAGUUGUUGGGGAUUCAUUUCCUUAGUAACGUAGCUAACGCGUGAAGUUGACCGCCU